UACGGAGGGAGCUAGCGUUGUUCGGAAUUACUGGGCGUAAAGGGCGCGUAGGCGGUUUGUACAGUCAGGUGUGAAAUUCCCGGGCUCAACCUGGGGGCUGCACUUGAUACGUAGGAACUUGAGUGGGGAAGAGGUGAGUGGAAUUCCCAGUGUAGAGGUGAAAUUCGUAGAUAUUGGGAAGAACACCGGUGGCGAAGGCGGCUCACUGGCUCGUAACUGACGCUCAGGCGCGACAGCGUGGGGAUCAAACAGG
Molecule: ribosomal RNA, 253 nt
Filed under: uncultured bacterium
Lineage: Bacteria
Description: partial 16S ribosomal RNA
Rfam family: Bacterial small subunit ribosomal RNA
Source: RNAcentral